AAUUACCCACUCCCAGCACGGGGAGGUAGUGACGAAAAAUAACGAUACGGGACUCAUCCGAGGCCCCGUAAUCGGAAUGAGUACACUUUAAAACUUUUCCCGAGGAUCAAUUGGAGGGUAAGUCUGGUGCCAGCAGCCGCGGUAAUUCCAGCUCCAAUAGCGUAUAUUAAAGUUGUUGCGGUUAAAAAGCUCGUAGUCGAAUCUGUGUCCCGCGCCGCUGGUUCAUCGCUCGCGGUGUUCAACUGGCGUGUCUCGCGGGACGUCCUGCCGGUGGGCGCUCGUAUCGUUUCGGCGGUGCGUGGCCCAACUCGUUUCCGUCUCGCGCGGUUGCGAAUCCCAUCGCGGUGCUCUUUAUUGAGUGUCGAGGUGGGCCGGCACGUUUACUUUGAACAAAUUAGAGUGCUUAAAGCAGGCCAAUUUUGCCUGAAUAUUGUGUGCAUGGAAUAAUGGAAUAGGACCUCGGUUCUAUUUUGUUGGUUUUAGGAACCCCGAGGUAAUGAUUAAUAGGAACGGAUGGGGGCAUUCGUAUUGCGACGUUAGAGGUGAAAUUCUUGGAUCGUCGCAAGACGGACAGAAGCGAAAGCAUUUGCCAAAAACGUUUUCAUUGAUCAAGAACGAAAGUUAGAGGUUCGAAGGCGAUCAGAUACCGCCCUAGUUCUAACCAUAAACGAUGCCAGCUAGCGAUCCGCCGACGUUCCUCCGAUGACUCGGCGGGCAGCUUCCGGGAAACCAAAGCUUUUGGGUUCCGGGGGAAGUAUGGUUGCAAAGCUGAAACUUAAAGGAAUUGACGGAAGGGCACCACCAGGAGUGGAGCCUGCGGCUUAAUUUGACUCAACACGGGACACCUCACCAGGCCCGGACACCGGAAGGAUUGACAGAUUGAGAGCUCUUUCUUGAUUCGGUGGGUGGUGGUGCAUGGCCGUU
RNAcentral lists this ribosomal RNA (924 nucleotides) under Atheta celata. RNAcentral describes it as "SSU rRNA". It matches the Rfam family "Eukaryotic small subunit ribosomal RNA", at positions 439 to 1292 of the family's 1831-position model. The record is from RNAcentral. Lineage: Eukaryota; Metazoa; Arthropoda; Insecta; Coleoptera; Staphylinidae.